AAUAAUUAGAUUUCCCGGCAAUAGACCCAGCAACCCAAUUGCCAUUUUCUAACCAAUCCUGACUGCAUAUCCAUCCAUUGUCAGACCAUGCCUUGCCAUUCAGUAUCUUUCCACCCUUGCCAACCAGAUCCUUGAUAAUCCCAGAAUUAGACAUUCCCAAUCCAGGAGGUACAGGCAAGUCUAAAACUGGCCUCUUGGAAAUAUGGCCACAAUAAGAACACAUAAAUCUACCACCCCCAGGAUUCUGAUCCCUAUACGGUGUCAAGCAGUUUCUGCACCUCCUUGUAGCAGUCUUUCGAAGCUUCUGCAAUUCAAUAGCUUCAGACCUUUUUCUCUCCCUCAAUCGUGCAUUUCUACGCACACGCCAAGCAGACAGCUGAGGCAUUAAAAUUUCAUACCAAAAAAGAGUGACCAAAAGCACAAAAACACAAGCGAGCCUGGGUGAGGUGAUCUCAAAUCGAAAAGCAGGUGGCAGAAGCUGUGACAGAGCCCACAAUCCUAUAAGAGGAAUUACUAACCAAGGUAGCAUAGUAGCAACCCGGCGAGACCACUUCUGGAUCACACACAGUAUACACAUUAUCCUCUUAACCCACACCUAUCUUCCCCGUGUUGAAACCGAACAAAAAAAAAACCCUAGAAAUCGGAAUUCAAAAUUCCACCCCUCAAAACAAUGCUUCAAUUGAAAACCCUAAUUACUAACUUGCCGUCGGAUCGAAUAUGAAUCCAGAGCUAUUCCACAAAGCUUCAUGAACCAGAUUGCGAGUCCAUGGUGAUUGGUAUUUAUUGAAAUAUCGAAAAAAAUGAGAGCGAAAAGUAAUUAGGGCUGCGAGUCGGGUCCUGCGACGGAUUCUGGUUGAAGGCUGUGGGCGUGGCUCGUUCGUCCGUUCUUACCAGCGAAGAAACUGUGAG
RNAcentral lists this unclassified non-coding RNA (909 nucleotides) under Hevea brasiliensis (rubber tree). Lineage: Eukaryota; Viridiplantae; Streptophyta; Magnoliopsida; Malpighiales; Euphorbiaceae. The record is from RNAcentral.